UGAAAAUGACGUGUUUAUAUAUACAGAGAUUUUCUCAUAGAGGAUUACUCGAGACUGGUUUUGCUACUUUGUGCUUUCAUUGUUGUUAUUUUCAAUAGAUCCUCAAAGAUUCAGUAAAAUAUUUUCAAACCAAAUCAUGAUAUUCCAAACAC
RNAcentral lists this non-coding RNA (152 nucleotides) under Fragilariopsis kerguelensis. The record is from RNAcentral. Lineage: Eukaryota; Bacillariophyta; Bacillariophyceae; Bacillariales; Bacillariaceae.